This 3986-nucleotide long non-coding RNA is filed under the name Brassica napus (rape). RNAcentral's name for it is "long non-coding RNA (BNAP_LNC009192)". The record is from RNAcentral. Lineage: Eukaryota; Viridiplantae; Streptophyta; Magnoliopsida; Brassicales; Brassicaceae.
GGAACUGGAUGAUGAUGUCUAGGCUACAAUUGAUUGUUUUUUGUGUUGUGUUGUUUGGUGUUUUAUCCGCACUCUCGUACUAAUUUAGUGGUGGCUUGCUUCUUGUCUUGUGUUCGUUUGGUGUUUUGAAACUGUUUUUUCUCUUCUUCAUCUCCUAUAUAUGUUUCCACUUGCAAACCUACUCUACGUUGUAUUUAUGGAAGAAGUAUGUGUUUCCUUGUUAUCAAUCUUACGGUUUUUUUUCCUACAACAAUGGUAUAAAAUUUACGCUUACAUACAUUACGUUUACCCAUGUACAAGUACAACCAUAAUCAAUAUUACGUUUUCUCUGGCUUAUUAAUAUAAAUCUAGCUAUCAAAUUUUCUCUGUGUUUUCCUCAAUUGUAUUUUAAAGAUUCUAUAAAUUGAGAGAACAAAUGUGAAAGAAGAUGACAAGGACCUUGCAGCUCUGCUCAACCGUCAUAAGAGCAACAUUAUUGGUAGGAUUAAUUUUUGAGUCCUUAGGUUAAUUUAUUAUUAUUUGUAUGGUAAGAAACAAAGCUAAGACACAAUCCCAAAAGUGUAGAUUAUUGGUAGGAUUUUUUUGUUGUUGUUUAGUAAAUUAAUUGUUUAUUUUUAAUAAGUAAUGACGUAUAAAAGAUAAGUUUAAAAUAAAACAUAUAACAUUAAAAUUGAAAACAUAAGGAAAUAACAAAGUUGCCAAAAAAAAAUAAAAAUUAACAAACAUCAUAAAUUAAAGCAAACAAAUAUUUUAUUCAAUUCAUAGAAACAUAUAAAUUAUAUGUUAUUUGGAAGAUGUCCAAAUUUAGCCUAUAUAUUUUCAAUCAAAUCAUUUUUUAGUUGCUGAUGGGCUUGUCUAUUCCGAACUUUUGUUCGACGAUCAAUUGUAUUCCCGAGAUUUGUAGCCAUAUUGACGGAAUAUUUAAGAUCCACAUCUUCUCCUUGUUGAAAUUCGAAAACAUCAUGCUGAGUGAAUGAAUCUCGUUGAUUAAAGAAUUAAAGAGUUAAAGAGUUAAACUACAACAGACGAAAUAUGUGAGACGGCAAUCAUAACAUCAGCGAAUCUAACAAACUACAAGUUACCAUGCUAUCUAACAAUAACAACUACUCGACCUCAAUUCGAUUUACUCAAACACAAACCAUACAAUCAGAAACGACAUUCAUAUCAUCACAACAAAUAAGAGAGAAAAAAAAAAUAUGUAUUUCGUGACCAUGUAUCUAUCAAGAUUUCUUUUAAUAAUAUUUAAGAUGACAGGAGAUGGAAUUGAAAUUACAGACAGUAUGUUUAAUAUUCUUUUAGUUAUAAAUGUGGUUUUGCUUUUUUGUUUUUUAAAAAAAAAAUCCCUCCCGUUAGUUUAGAUUCUUAGAUAUAAAAACUCGGAAAAUACAAAGUUAUAACGUACGUAUAAGAAACAACAAAAAAUUAUAACGGACCCAUCAUUUUACAUAGGCCCGACGGUCCAACAACUUAAUGUAGAUAAAUAGCACUUUCGCUCAAAAAGACGUAAAUAAGCUUACCUCUCACUCUCCAAUUGGUAAUAAAUUCGGAUCCCUAAAAAUUCUGGAAACUACGAUUCUCCGAUUCUGAAGAUGAUGCGUCUCCGGGUUGCUGCGGAUGCUGCUAAGGUACUCUGUUAGAUUAUAUUUAGCUCUGGGUUUAUUAUUAUUGUCUCUGUCUGAUAUUGAGAGAAAAAAUAAAAAAAAAAUGCAGCAGAGUCGGCGAGUGUUUUCUCCCCGUGCUUCUGAGUCUGCUUCAUCUCCGGAACCUUCUCCCGUUCAGUGGUUUAAGUCCAUCAAGGCUGCUGCUUCCCACUGCAUCCUUCAAGGUCUCGUGAAGAGUUGCAACGCUAGCCCUUUGUGCGCCAAGAGCAUCUGCUGCUUCGCGACCAGAUCCGAGAAGUGGAAGAGGCGCGUCAACCUAUUGCACUAUACCGCAACUCCGUUGACCUCCAAAGUGUUCGUGUGGAAUAACAAGGCUUCUUUGAUCCGAGCUUGUGAGAAUGUACUUUGUUUACGGCUGUUGUUGGGCUCUCGGGAUUUGCUAUCACCCACUGGGUACGUCACUACGACCUGAAAGGUGCAGACAAGAGGUUCGCUGCUAUCGAGCGUCGCCAACGUGCUCUUAAGGCUUAUCAGGCAUACAUGGUUACUCGGUUUAAUAGGGAGUUAAACAUUGUGAAUCAGCAGAUGGGGAAGAUUCAGUAUGAGUUCUGCGAGAUGGAGAAGAUUCUUCAACAACUCGAGAAGAAUAACAAGAAGUAGGAAUCUUGACCAUCCUCUGACUUUUGUUUGUGUAAUAAUGAUUUGACAUGUGUUGUUUAUGCUUACUAUGAGAUCUACUACUCGAGGAAGGUCGUUUUUAAGUGAUAUUUUUGGCAAAAAUGAUUAUAAUAACCCAUUCCAUUACAUAAAAUAUAUAAAUAACACACAUCAAUCAUGGUUUUUGUUUACAUCACAAAACUAGAAGAACUAGGUGUUUAAAUUUUUUAUAACUAUUUACUAAUAGGCCAUCAAUCAUUCAUUACUAGUUAAAAGUAGCUUGUUUUGAAAAAAAACUCCCAGAGAAGUAUUUUAUGCUUUGUGUAUUAUAAUACUUUGAUUUGGGCCAUUUGUGUAUAAUGAAUCGGGUUUGGAUUUAGAAUCUUAGUUGGACACAAUCAGAUUUAAAGGUGAAAUUAGCAACAAGACAUAAAAAAAUCAUUUAGACAUUAGGUAAUGAUUUCAUUAACAAAUUUAAAAAAAUAAAAAAAUUAACGUAAAUUAACAUGAUCACUUCGUAAUCGUGGGAGGGUUUAAAAUACAUAGAAGAUACAGUAUGAUCUAUCACAAAAAAAUGGGCCACAUUUGUCCAAUGGGCCGGAUUUGGACUGAAAAUACGGCCCAGGGUAAAAAUAAAUAAUUCUAACCAAGGAAAGCCGAAGCCCUAAUCUUACGACACCCGAAGCAAAGGAAGGAAGGAUUCAGCGGAACAAAAGAAGAUGAUGAUGAUGAUGAAGCAGCAGGCGCAGACGAUUUUGGCCAAGGUUAAGCUAAGAAUCAUUAUUUUAUUCCGGAUCCUCCCUCUCGAUUUGUCAAUUGGUGAUCGUAGUAUUGUCUGUGUUCUGCAGUAUGGUCGGAGAGGGAUUUCAUCCGUCGCCGCUUCCCCCAUGUCCUCGAGGGUCAAGCAUGUUUGGGAGAAUCAGAACAAAUUAGUUCUUGGUUUAGCGUUCUUUGGUGGAUGGUUCGCCAAAGCCUCCAUAAGUAUGGUUCUUUGAAUUCAUGUUAUAGAUGUUUCCAACAUUAAUUCUCUAGAAUGUAACUAUUUCUCGUUCCUGUUUCCAAUGAAUGGAUGUUUCAGAUGUUUUCAAGAGAAGAGAGGAUUGGUACAGAGUACACAGAUUUUUUGAUGAGGAGGAGAAGCGUCUUGAAGAGAAAUGUGCCCGUUUUCAAAAGGUAAGUCAAGUUUGAUACCUUUUAUUAAAUAAAUCACAUGUUCAAACCAUUUGUUUUAUUUCAUGAAUGGCAGGAACUGGAUGAUGAUGUCUAGGCUACAAUUGAUUGUUUUUUUUGUUGUGUUGUUUGGUGUUUUAUCCGCACUCUCGUACUAAUUUAGUGGUGGCUUGCUUCUUGUCUUGUGUUCGUUUGGUGUUUUGAAACUGUUUUUUCUCUUCUUCAUCUCCUAUAUAUGUUUCCACUUGCAAACCUACUCUACGUUGUAUUUAUGGAAGAAGUAUGUGUUUCCUUGUUAUCAAUCUUACGGUUUUUUUUCCUACAACAAUGGUAUAAAAUUUACGCUUACAUACAUUACGUUUACCCAUGUACAAGUACAACCAUAAUCAAUAUUACGUUUUCUCUGGCUUAUUAAUAUAAAUCUAGCUAUCAAAUUUUCUCUGUGUUUUCCUCAAUUGUAUUUUAAAGAUUCUAUAAAUUGAGAGAACAAAUGUGAAAGAAGAUGACAAGGACCUUGCAGCUCUGCUCAACCGUCAUAAGAGCAACAUUAUUGGUAGG